Molecule: small nuclear RNA, 116 nt
Filed under: Haliotis rufescens (red abalone)
Lineage: Eukaryota; Metazoa; Mollusca; Gastropoda; Lepetellida; Haliotidae
Description: U5 spliceosomal RNA
Rfam family: U5 spliceosomal RNA
About the family: U5 RNA is a component of both types of known spliceosome. The precise function of this molecule is unknown, though it is known that the 5' loop is required for splice site selection and p220 binding, and that both the 3' stem-loop and the Sm site are important for Sm protein binding and cap methylation.
Source: RNAcentral
GUACUCUGGUUUCUCUUCACCUCGCAUAAAUCUUUCGCCUUUUACUAAAGAUUUCCGUGGGGAGGAACAACUCAAUGAGUCUUAAGACUUAUUUUUUAAACCCUACUUUGUAGGGU